RNAcentral lists this ribosomal RNA (460 nucleotides) under uncultured bacterium. Its description in RNAcentral is "partial 16S ribosomal RNA". It matches the Rfam family "Bacterial small subunit ribosomal RNA", at positions 338 to 795 of the family's 1533-position model. The record is from RNAcentral.
CCUACGGGUGGCUGCAGUGAGGAAUAUUGGUCAAUGGACGAGAGUCUGAACCAGCCAAGUAGCGUGAAGGAUGACUGCCCUAUGGGUUGUAAACUUCUUUUAUAUGGGAAUAAAAUGUUCCACGUGUGGGAUUUUGUAUGUACCAUAUGAAUAAGGAUCGGCUAACUCCGUGCCAGCAGCCGCGGUAAUACGGAGGAUGCGAGCGUUAUCCGGAUUUAUUGGGUUUAAAGGGUGCGUAGGUGGGUUGUUAAGUCCGCUGGAAAAGUAGGGGGCUCAACCGGAAAAUAGCAGUUGAAACUGGCAGUCUUGAGUAGGGUAGAGGUGGGCGGAAUUCGUGGUGUAGCGGUGAAAUGCUUAGAGAUCACGAAGAACUCCGAUUGCGAAGGCAGCACACUGGACUGCAACUGACACUGAGGCUCGAAAGUGUGGGUAUCAAACAGGAUUAGAUACCCGAGUAGUC